CGGGCGGAUGGUGGAUGCCUUGGCGACAGGAGGCGACGAAGGACGCGGCAAGCUGCGAUAAGCCGCGGGUAGGCGCAUGCUGCCUUUGAUCCGCGGAUUUCCGAAUGGAGCAAUCCGGCACCCCUGAACAGGGUGCCAUCCCGUUCUGAAUAAAAUAGGUUCGGGAGGCUAUACCCGGGGAAGUGAAACAUCUCAGUACCCGGAGGAGAAGAAAACAACAGUGAUUCCGUCAGUAGUGGCGAGCGAACGCGGAACAGCCCAAACCGGGAGGCUUGCCUUCUGGGGUUGCGGGACCGGUAUCCGGCUGUUCGAGGAUAAGUGCAAGCCGCUGGGAAGCGGCGCCGUAGCGGGUGACAGCCCCUUGCAUAUAGUUUCUUGAUCGGCUUUCCGGCACCCAAGUAGGUCGGGACACGUGAAACCCCGUCUGAAUCCGGAGGGCCCACCCUCCAAGGCUAAAUACUCUCUGUCGACCGAUAGUGUACCAGUACCGUGAGGGAAAGGUGAAAAGAACCCCUUUCGGGGAGUGAAAUAGAACCUGAAACCAUCCGCCUUCAAGCUGUGGGAGCCGGCUUUGUCCGGUGACCGCGUGCCUUUUGCAUAAUGAGCCUGCGAGUUUUCCUGCACGGCAAGGCCAAGCCGAUGGCGCAGCCGAAGCGAAAGCGAGUGCGAACAGCGCGUUCAGUCGUGCGGGGCAGACCCGAAACUGAGUGAUCUAUCCAUGGCCAGGCCGAACCCCCGGUAACGCGGGGUGGAGGGCCGAACCAUUUGGUGUUGAAAAACCUUUGGAUGAGCUGUGGAUAGGGGUGAAAGGCCAAUCAAACUCAGUGAUAGCUGGUUCUCUCCGAAAUAGCUUUAGGGCUAGCCCUGGGAUUUUAGAUGCGCGGGGGUAGAGCGACCGAUCGGCGGCGGGUCCCCACCGGGAUGCCAAAGCCGGCCGAACUCCGAAUACCGCGUCAUUAUGCCCGGGAGUCAGACCGCGGGGGAUAAGCUCCGCGGUCGAAAGGGAAACAGCCCGGACCUCCGGCUAAGGCCCCUAAUCGUGUGUUCAGUGGAUUGAAGGAAGUGGAGUCGCACAGACAGCCAGGAUGUUGGCUUAGAGGCAGCCAUCAUUUAAAGAUUGCGUAAUAGCUCACUGGCCGAGUGGUUCCGCGCCGAAAAUGAUCGGGACUCAAACACGCAGCCGAAGCCGAGGAAUACUUUUUCAGUAUUGGUAGGAGAGCGUUCCAUAUUGUAUGAAUCCGGAGCGUGAGCGACGGUGGACUUUAUGGGAGUGAUCAUGCAGGCAUGAGUAACGAAAAGGAGGGUGUGAAUCCCUCCCGCCGAAAGUCCGAGGUUUCCUGGGCCAGGUUCGUCCUCCCAGGGUCAGUCGGCCCCUAAGGCGAGGCCGAAAGGCGUAGCCGAUGGAUUCCGGGUUAACAUUCCCGGACUCGCAUAGUCCAGUGAUGGCGUGACGCGGAAGGCCGUGCAGUCCUUCUUCUGGAAUAGGAGGUCCAAGCGCGCGGGGCGCCAUGCAGGCAAAUCCGCAUGGCAACAGUCCGAGGCGUGAUGGGGUGCGCACCCUUCUGGGUUCGCGAAGCUGCCGCCGGCCAUGCCGCCGUGAAAAGCGUCUAAGCGUUUUUACGGCUAUGUGAACCGUACCGCAAACCGACACAGGUGGACAGGUCGAAUAGACUGAGGCGCUCGGGAGAAACCACGUUAAGGAACUCGGCAAACUGGCCCCGUAACUUCGGGAGAAGGGGCGCUCUCUGCGGUAGGCUUGAUUUUCUCAUGCCUGCUGCGGGGAGCCGCAGUGAAAAGGCCCAGGCGACUGUUUAGCAAAAACACAGCACUCUGCCAAGUCGCAAGACGACGUAUAGGGUGUGACACGUGACCAAUGCCGAAAGGUCAAGCGGAAGGGUCAGCCGCAAGGCGAAGCUCGGAUGUGAAGCCCCGGUGAAUGUCGGCCGUAACUAUAACGGUCCUAAGGUAGCGAAAUUCCUUGUCGGGUAAGUUCCGACCUGCACGAAUCGUGUAACGAUCUGGGCGCUGUCUCAACGUGGAUCCCGGUGAAGUUGUAUUUCCGGUGAAAAUGCCGGAUACCUGCGGAAGGACGGAAAGACCCCAUGAACCUUUACUGUUGCCUGGCAUUGG
RNAcentral lists this ribosomal RNA (2130 nucleotides) under Candidatus Hydrogenedentes bacterium ADurb.Bin179. Its description in RNAcentral is "bacterial LSU rRNA". It matches the Rfam family "Bacterial large subunit ribosomal RNA", at positions 15 to 2120 of the family's 2925-position model. The record is from RNAcentral. Lineage: Bacteria; Pseudomonadati; Candidatus Hydrogenedentota.